UUGUGCUAAUACCGUAUGUGUCCUUCGGGAGAAAGAUUUAUCGGUCAAGGAUGAGCCCGCGUUGGAUUAGCUAGUUGGUGGGGUAAAGGCCUACCAAGGCGACGAUCCAUAGCUGGUCUGAGAGGAUGAUCAGCCACAUUGGGACUGAGACACGGCCCAAACUCCUACGGGAGGCAGCAGUGGGGAAUAUUGGACAAUGGGCGCAAGCCUGAUCCAGCCAUGCCGCGUGAGUGAUGAAGGCCCUAGGGUUGUAAAGCUCUUUCACCGGAGAAGAUAAUGACGGUAUCCGGAGAAGAAGCCCCGGCUAACUUCGUGCCAGCAGCCGCGGUAAUACGAAGGGGGCUAGCGUUGUUCGGAAUUACUGGGCGUAAAGCGCACGUAGGCGGAUCGAUCAGUCAGG
Molecule: ribosomal RNA, 400 nt
Filed under: Rhizobium leguminosarum
Lineage: Bacteria; Pseudomonadati; Pseudomonadota; Alphaproteobacteria; Hyphomicrobiales; Rhizobiaceae
Description: bacterial SSU rRNA
Rfam family: Bacterial small subunit ribosomal RNA
Source: RNAcentral